UACAGAGGGCUCAAGCGUUGUUCGGAUUCAUUGGGCGUAAAGGGUGCGUAGGCGGCGCGGUAAGUCGGGUGUGAAAUCUCGGAGCUUAACUCCGAAACUGCAUUCGAUACUGCCGUGCUUGAGGACUGGAGAGGAGACUGGAAUUUACGGUGUAGCGGUGAAAUGCGUAGAUAUCGGAAGGAAGACCAGUGGCGAAGGCGGGUCUCUGGACAGGUCCUGACGCUGAGGCACGAAGGUCAGGGGAGCAAACAGG
This 253-nucleotide ribosomal RNA is filed under the name uncultured bacterium. RNAcentral describes it as "partial 16S ribosomal RNA". It matches the Rfam family "Bacterial small subunit ribosomal RNA", at positions 524 to 776 of the family's 1533-position model. The record is from RNAcentral.